RNAcentral lists this long non-coding RNA (506 nucleotides) under Neogale vison (American mink). RNAcentral's name for it is "Neovison vison (American mink) lncRNA (ENSNVIG00000024424.1)". The record is from RNAcentral. Lineage: Eukaryota; Metazoa; Chordata; Mammalia; Carnivora; Mustelidae.
CCCCCAUUUCAGUAGGUCUUCAGAAGGAAUAAGUGCAUGAGACACAAGCCCUUGACUCUAAUGUGUCAGCCAUGGCUCCUGGAGUGUCCACAUGGAUCCAACAACUGGACUGAAGAAUGGGGCAGCCGCGCUGUAGUUCUGGCCCAGGAGGGGUAAUCCAAUUCACACCCACUGUGCACCAUGUCCAUCACACAUCACAGUGAGAGGACUGUGUUGAGGGCCUGGCACCAAGUUAGCACAUCUUCCGUGAGAAUGGUUAGAAGCUCUUGCCUUUCUCAUCCUCGUCCUGAUGACUUCCCACCAGAAACAUGAUGAAUUUAAUGGCCAGAAGCUGGACGUGGGAGAGAGCAACUUCCCUGGGGCGGCAGACUAAGUGCGGGGGCUCCGUGGAGACCUGCCGGGGGAGGUGCAGACACGGAAUGGAUAAUGAUCAGUUUUACAAAGGUAACAGCCAUGCUCUUUAUAAAAAUUCAAAUGUGACAGAGACAUAUAAUGGAGAAAUGUAA